Molecule: unclassified non-coding RNA, 332 nt
Filed under: soil metagenome
Description: partial contains 5.8S ribosomal RNA, internal transcribed spacer 2, and large subunit ribosomal RNA
Rfam family: 5.8S ribosomal RNA (bases 1-120)
Source: RNAcentral
GAUGAAGAACGUAGCGAAAUGCGAUAAGUAGUGUGAAUUGCAGAAUUCAGUGAAUCAUCGAAUCUUUGAACGCACAUUGCGCCCUUUGGUAUUCCUUAGGGCAUGCCUGUUCGAGCGUCAUUUAAACCUUCAAGCUCAGCUUGGUGUUGGGUGACUGUCCGCUUCACCGCGGACUCGCCUCAAAAUUAUUGGCGGCCGGUACAUUGGCUUCGAGCGCAGCAGAAACGCGAACUCGGGCCCGUCGUAUUGGCUCCCAGAAGCUAUCUUCACAAUUUUGACCUCGGAUCAGGUAGGGAUACCCGCUGAACUUAAGCAUAUCAAUAAGCGGAAGA